CAAUGCCUGCCCAGUGACAUGUUAAACGGCCACGGUAUCCUAACCGUGCAAAGGUAGCGUAAUCACUUGUCUUUUAAAUAAAGACUAGAAUGAAUGGCCAAACGAGGUUCCAUCUGUCUCUUACAAACAAUCAGUGAAAUUGAUCUUCCUGUGCAAAAGCAGAGAUAACUAUAUAAGACGAGAAGACCCUGUGGAACUUCAAAUAUACAUCAACUAGUAACAAUAUAUACCUACGGAUUUAUAAUCACACGUACUGAUAUGUAUUUUGGGUUGGGGCGACCUCGGAGUAAAACAAAACCUCCGAAGACAGAACAUAAAAUUCUACACCUAGAUCCACAGUUCAAAGUGCCUACGGCAAAAAGAUCCAAUAUAAUUGAUCAACGAACCAAGCUACCCCAGGGAUAACAGCGCAAUCCCAUCUUAGAGCCCUUAUCAAUGAUGGGGUUUACGACCUCGAUGUUGGAUCAGGACAUCCUAAUGGCGCAGCCGCUAUUAAGGG
RNAcentral lists this ribosomal RNA (499 nucleotides) under Kinosternon subrubrum hippocrepis. RNAcentral describes it as "partial 16S ribosomal RNA". It matches the Rfam family "Bacterial large subunit ribosomal RNA", at positions 1853 to 2571 of the family's 2925-position model. Lineage: Eukaryota; Metazoa; Chordata; Testudines; Kinosternidae. The record is from RNAcentral.